GUGGGGAAUAUUGGACAAUGGGCGAAAGCCUGAUCCAGCCAUGCCGCGUGUGUGAAGAAGGUCUUCGGAUUGUAAAGCACUUUAAGUUGGGAGGAAGGGCAGUAAGUUAAUACCUUGCUGUUUUGACGUUACCGACAGAAUAAGCACCGGCUAACUUCGUGCCAGCAGCCGCGGUAAUACGAAGGGUGCAAGCGUUAAUCGGAAUUACUGGGCGUAAAGCGCGCGUAGGUGGUUUUGGAAGUUGGAGGUGAAAUCCCCGGGCUCAACCUGGGAACUGCCUCCAAAACUGCAUGACUAGAGUACGGUAGAGGGUAGUGGAAUUUCCUGUGUAGCGGUGAAAUGCGUAGAUAUAGGAAGGAACACCAGUGGCGAAGGCGACUACCUGGACUGAUACUGACACUGAGGUGCGAAAGCGUGGGGAGCAAACAGGAUUAGAUACCCCAGUAGUCC
RNAcentral lists this ribosomal RNA (450 nucleotides) under uncultured bacterium. RNAcentral describes it as "partial 16S ribosomal RNA". It matches the Rfam family "Bacterial small subunit ribosomal RNA", at positions 354 to 796 of the family's 1533-position model. The record is from RNAcentral.